This 404-nucleotide ribosomal RNA is filed under the name uncultured bacterium. Its description in RNAcentral is "bacterial SSU rRNA". It matches the Rfam family "Bacterial small subunit ribosomal RNA", at positions 355 to 776 of the family's 1533-position model. The record is from RNAcentral.
UGAGGAAUAUUGAGCAAUGGGCGCAAGCCUGACUCAGCAACGCCGCGUGGAUGAAGAAGGCCUUCGGGUUGUAAAAUCCUUUUCUGGGGGAAGAUAAUGACGGUACCCCAGGAAUAAGUUCCGGCUAACUACGUGCCAGCAGCCGCGGUAAAACGUAGGGGACGAGCGUUAUCCGGAUUUACUGGGCGUAAAGCGCAUGUAGGUGGCGCGGAAAGUUGGACGUGAAAGCUCCCGGCUUAACUGGGAGAGGUCGUACAAAACUACCGUGCUUGAGGUUGGAAGAGGAGAGCGGAAUUCCCGGUGUAGUGGUGGAAUGCGUAGAUAUCGGGAGGAACACCAGUGGCGAAAGCGGCUCUCUGGUUCAAUACUGACACUGAGAUGCGAAAGCGUGGGGAGCGAACGGG